This 350-nucleotide ribosomal RNA is filed under the name uncultured eukaryote. RNAcentral's name for it is "SSU rRNA". It matches the Rfam family "Eukaryotic small subunit ribosomal RNA", at positions 1326 to 1699 of the family's 1831-position model. The record is from RNAcentral.
CGAUAACGAACGAGACCUUAACCUGCUAAAUAGCCAGGCUAUCUUUUGAUGGUCGCCGGCUUCUUAGAGGGACUAUCGGCUCAAGCCGAUGGAAGUUUGAGGCAAUAACAGGUCUGUGAUGCCCUUAGAUGUUCUGGGCCGCACGCGCGCUACACUGACAGAGCCAACGAGUAUAAACCUUAACCGAAAGGUUUGGGUAAUCUUGUUAAACUCUGUCGUGCUGGGGAUAGGGCAUUGCAAUUAUUGCCCUUCAACGAGGAAUAUCUAGUAAGCGCAAGUCAUCAGCUUGCGUUGAUUACGUCCCUGCCCUUUGUACACACCGCCCGUCGCUACUACCGAUUGAAUGGCUA